This 426-nucleotide ribosomal RNA is filed under the name uncultured bacterium. Its description in RNAcentral is "bacterial SSU rRNA". It matches the Rfam family "Bacterial small subunit ribosomal RNA", at positions 355 to 775 of the family's 1533-position model. The record is from RNAcentral.
UGGGGAAUCUUGCGCAAUGGGCGAAAGCCUGACGCAGCAACGCCGCGUGAGCGAAGAAGGCCUUCGGGUUGUAAAGCUCUGUCAGGGGGAAAGAAGGCACCUGGGUUAAUAGCCCAAGGGCUGACGGUACCCCCAAAGGAAGCCACGGCUAACUACGUGCCAGCAGCCGCGGUAAUACGUAGGUGGCAAGCGUUGUCCGGAAUCAUUGGGCGUAAAGAGCGCGUAGGUGGCUUGUCAGGUCUGAUGUGAAAUUUCGGGGCUCAACCCCGAACCUGCAUCGGAAACCGGCUUGCUAGAGUCUGGGAGAGGAGAGUGGAAUUCCUGGUGUAGCGGUGAAAUGCGUAGAUAUCAGGAGGACACCGGUAGCGAAGGCGGCUCUCUGGAACAGUACUGACGCUGAGGCGCGAAAGCUAGGGGAGCGAACAG